This 253-nucleotide ribosomal RNA is filed under the name uncultured bacterium. Its description in RNAcentral is "partial 16S ribosomal RNA". It matches the Rfam family "Bacterial small subunit ribosomal RNA", at positions 524 to 776 of the family's 1533-position model. The record is from RNAcentral.
UACGUAGGGGGCGAGCGUUAUCCGGAUUCACUGGGUUUAAAGGGUGCGUAGGAGGGCAGGUAAGUCAGUGGUGAAAUCCCGGGGCUUAACUCCGGAACUGCCGUUGAUACUAUCUGUCUUGAAUGCCGUGGAGGUGAGCGGAAUAUGUCAUGUAGCGGUGAAAUGCUUAGAUAUGACAUAGAACACCGAUUGCGAAGGCAGCUCGCUACACGAACAUUGACUCUGAGGCACGAAAGCGUGGGGAUCAAACAGG